Molecule: long non-coding RNA, 1219 nt
Organism: Cercocebus atys (sooty mangabey)
Lineage: Eukaryota; Metazoa; Chordata; Mammalia; Primates; Cercopithecidae
Exons: 3
Source: RefSeq, a predicted model, not a curated record
AGGGCAAACCUGCCUCCCCUUCUGUUUAGUCAUCUCUCAGCUCACUGAGGUAAAUGCAUAUCUGAUUACCGCCUCUGGAGAGGCUAACCAGAAACUCAAGGGAAUGCAACUGUUUGACCUGGAAGCUCCCUCUUGCCUUUGCUUGGAGUAGUCCCGCCAUUCCGGACCAACCAAUGUUCAUCUUACGUGUAUUAAUUGAUGUCUCAUAUCUCCCUAAAAUGUGUAAAACCAAGCUGUGCUCUGACCACCUUGGGCCCUUGUCAUCAGGACCUCCGUAGGCCGUGUCAUGGGCGUGCCUCCUUAAAUUCAGCAAAAUAAACUUCCUAAGUUGACUGAGAUCUGACUCAGAUCUUUAAGGUUCACAUUUUAGUAACCACAAAGCGAUUCCUAGUAGAGGUGCCACUGACCUUUGACAAAUCUCCUGUCAGUCAUUAGUACCAGCCUGAGCUAUCUUUAUGGCUCAAACCAACAGGACAAUUUGCUGAGGCCUCGAAGAACCCCCUCCAGAGAAUCCCUGAUCUACCCAGAUUUGGUCAAGAUCUAGUUUAUUUUGCUGUACAACUCCUUUUGUGUGUGGGGGGUGAGGGGACGGGGGUGGUUUACUCUCUUCCAACAUAAGGAAGGCAAGUUUUUUCUUGCUUCAGUGACAGUGGAAGGCAGGUAACUCUUUUAUGGAGUUUGAGCUCGCUUCCCACAGGAAAGAUGAGGGGUUUUCUUCCCCUGCUCCUAGGAUGGUAGAGAGCAAUCUUCAGCCUGAGACCCAUCCCUAGGUGCCUAGAGAAUCAGUCCCUGGAGCAACACUGGGCCCUAAUUGCAGACCUGUUGACCUGGGUCAGGUUGGAUUUCAGAAUCUCUGCAGACUGACUGCUUUUUGCCUCAGUUUCACCCUUCUGAAUGGCAGGGGCCAAGGACUCAAUUCCUGAGCAAGAAACAGCAAGAAACAGCAAGUGCCAUGAAAAGCGGCUUUGUGUGGGGUGGGCUCUUCACACUCCAAUCUCCAGUUCCUUCUCAAAGCUUCGAAAAAAAGUUGAAAAAUGAAAACAAAAGCCCUGCUGUGUUGAGCUGGGCUCUGGCGUUGCCAUGGACCCAGGGCAAACAGCGAUGCUCCUGCUCUGCCCCCAGCUCAGCUCACACUGGGCCUGCACUUCUGGAAGGGAGCACAGACUUCGGAAUGACUGGUUAGAACCCAAAUGAAUUCAUGGAAUGUGACAUGGUUCAA